AAGCAUUCUGGGAAAGUCUUUACUGAGGAAGCACGGUUACAUCACAUCAUGAACAUUUCCACAAUUUUUCUUGUGUGUCUGUGUCUGUGUGUGACCCUGGAGAUGGCGAUGACGUCAGAGGUCACUGACCCAGUGGAGCAGUUCAGGCUUCACUGUCUGACACCAGACUCAUGGGAAGUGAGCGAUAUGUGCAUAUUCUUUAGGGCCGUGGACACAGAUACCAGCGGGUCUUUAAACUUUUUGGAGUUCUGGUAUAAUAUACUUCGCUAUUACCUCUUCAUUGACGAGGAGGAGGAGGCUGAUGCUGUUUUUAAGCAAUUUGACAUUGAUGGAAGCGGAACCAUAGACUUUGGUGAAUUCCUCACCAUUGCCAGGUCGACCAUGUGAGCAGUCACAGAGGACGUGGUCAUGCAGGCGUUUCAGAAGGUGGAGAAAACUGUGGAGACGACGUGACCAGAGAAGAGUUUCUCGUUUACGCUGUGACGUCAUCACUGGAUCACAAUAAAGAGUUCAAAGCAAAUGCUGCUGUCGUUUGUUAGUGACUUGGAUUUAAAUCAGUUUUUGUUUUCUAUGUUGUGUUCUAUGUUUCUAAUAGCACUGCACAGUGUUGUAAAGUAUUACAGUAUUUGUGUUCAAUUAUGAUCUAUAAUGUUAAAAUGUGAGUUUCAAAAGCUCAGAUGUAUCUUACUGACAUUUAUCAAACUUUAAAGUCGUGAUUAAAUUCAUUAUUUAUGUUGUAGAUCUACAGAGUGGUGCUAUCGUGAUGAUCUGAGAUCGAUUGCUUUGGUCUUGACACACGCACACACCUGUGAUCAUUAAGCAUGAUUCUAGUUGAGCUCUUACUGGGGAAACACCGUUACAUCACAUCGUGAACAUUUCCACGCUCUUUCUCGUGUGUCUGUGUCUGUGUGUGACCCUGGAGAUGGCAGCGACGUCAGAGGUCACUGACCUGCUGCACUGCACUGACCCAGUGAAGUGGUCUGGGAAGUAUGGUCUGUCCCUGGACUCAUCUGAGAUGGAAGAUCUGAGCAGUGUCUUUAGGAUGAUGGACAAAAAUGCCAACUGCUUUCUGGACUUCGAUGAGCUCUGGAAGAGUUUAAGCGACUCUGGCGUCUCAAUGGACCAGCAGGACACUGUCACCGUGUUUAAGUACUUUGACCGCGAUGGAAGCCGAGGCGUUGACAUUGGUGAAUACCUCGUCGCUGUCGGGGUACAUAUUUGAAUGAUAAGUCACUGCACACAAGUCGCAUGUGCCAAUUACAUCAUGUACUUCAAGUGUACUUCAACCUAAUGAUGAGUUGUGAUGUGAUCACUGCUUCAAUAAAGAGUUCAAACAGAUUUUUGAUAUUAACAACUUUUAA
Molecule: RNA transcript, 1361 nt
Organism: Solea solea (common sole)
Lineage: Eukaryota; Metazoa; Chordata; Actinopteri; Pleuronectiformes; Soleidae
Gene name: calcyphosin-like protein
Exons: 7
Source: RefSeq, a predicted model, not a curated record